UGGGGAAUUUUGGACAAUGGGCGAAAGCCUGAUCCAGCAAUGCCGCGUGUGUGAAGAAGGCCUUCGGGUUGUAAAGCACUUUUGUCCGGAAAGAAAUCCUUGGCUCUAAUACAGUCGGGGGAUGACGGUACCGGAAGAAUAAGCACCGGCUAACUACGUGCCAGCAGCCGCGGUAAUACGUAGGGUGCAAGCGUUAAUCGGAAUUACUGGGCGUAAAGCGUGCGCAGGCGGUUUGCUAAGACCGAUGUGAAAUCCCCGGGCUCAACCUGGGAACUGCAUUGGUGACUGGCAGGCUAGAGUAUGGCAGAGGGGGGUAGAAUUCCACGUGUAGCAGUGAAAUGCGUAGAGAUGUGGAGGAAUACCGAUGGCGAAGGCAGCCCCCUGGGCCAAUACUGACGCUCAUGCACGAAAGCGUGGGGGAGCAAACAGGAUUAGAUACCCUGGUAGUCCACGCCCUAAACGAUGUCAACUAGUUGUUGGGGGAUUCAUUUCCUUAGUAACGUAGCUAACGCGUGAAGUUGACCGCCUGGGGAGUACGGUCGCAAGAUUAAAACUCAAAUGAAUUGACGGGGUCAUAGCUG
This 581-nucleotide ribosomal RNA is filed under the name uncultured bacterium. Its description in RNAcentral is "partial 16S ribosomal RNA". It matches the Rfam family "Bacterial small subunit ribosomal RNA", at positions 355 to 932 of the family's 1533-position model. The record is from RNAcentral.